This 250-nucleotide unclassified non-coding RNA is filed under the name plant metagenome. RNAcentral's name for it is "partial contains small subunit ribosomal RNA, internal transcribed spacer 1, and 5.8S ribosomal RNA". The record is from RNAcentral.
CCACCGUCGGAAGCCUUGUAAGUAUUCAAUCCGUCCUUUUCGGGCGGGUAACACUCGUCUGUUGCUGGAAGUGAACCUCCGUUGGAGUUAACCAGCUGCCAUAUGCGCCGUAACGCCUCGCAUGUGGCCCACAGAUCAAACACGAGUGGCCCGUGGCCCCCGUCGAUUCUCUGGAAUCGGGGGCCUACGGGUUGAGAUAUGACCGUAGCAGCCUUGCAAAAGGCCGGAAGACUGGUUCCGUAGGUGAACC